Molecule: ribosomal RNA, 513 nt
Filed under: uncultured Glomeromycotina
Lineage: Eukaryota; Fungi; Glomeromycota
Description: bacterial SSU rRNA
Rfam family: Eukaryotic small subunit ribosomal RNA
Source: RNAcentral
UUGGAGGGCAAGUCUGGUGCCAGCAGACAUGGUAAUUCUAGCUCAAAUAGUGUAUAUUAAAGUUGUUGCAGUUAAAAAGCUCAUAGUCGAAUUUCGGAAUCUGUCCAUCGGUCGGGCGUACUGGUGUGGUGGGUUCUUACCUUCUGAAUAACUAGUAUGCCAUUAACUUGGUCGUUGGGAAAGCAGAACUAUUACCUUGAAAAAUUAGAGUGUACAUUAGCAUGGAAUGAUAAAAUAGGACGACAUGGUUCUAUUUUCUUGGUUUCUAGGAUCACCGUGAUGAUUAAUAGGAGUCGGGGCAUUAGUAUUAAAUUGUCAGAGGUGAAAUUCUUGGAUUUAUUGAAGACUAACUUCUGCGAAAGCAUUUUCCAAAGAUGUUUUCAUUAAUUAAGAACGAAAGUUAGGGAAUCGAAGACGAUCAGAUACCGUCGUAGUCUUAACCAUUAACUAUGCCGACUAGGGAUCGGAUGAUGUUAAUUUUUUUAAUGACUCGUUCGGCGCCUUACGGGAAAC